Molecule: ribosomal RNA, 301 nt
Filed under: uncultured bacterium
Lineage: Bacteria
Description: partial 16S ribosomal RNA
Rfam family: Bacterial small subunit ribosomal RNA
Source: RNAcentral
CAGCCGCCGCGGUAAUACGUAGGUGGCAAGCGUUGUCCGGAAUUAUUGGGCGUAAAGGGCUCGCAGGCGGUUUCUUAAGUCUGAUGUGAAAGCCCCCGGCUCAACCGGGGAGGGUCAUUGGAAACUGGGAAACUUGAGUGCAGAAGAGGAGAGUGGAACUCCACGUGUAGCGGUGAAAUGCGUAGAGAUGUGGAGGAACACCAGUGGCGAAGGCGACUCUCUGGUCUGUAACUGACGCUGAGGAGCGAAAGCGUGGGGAGCGAACAGGAUUAGAUACCCGCGUAGUCCCUGUCUCUUAUAC